This is a long non-coding RNA of Phyllostomus hastatus (greater spear-nosed bat), 553 nucleotides long. RefSeq lists it as uncharacterized. The record is from RefSeq and is a predicted model, not a curated record. The transcript has 3 exons. Lineage: Eukaryota; Metazoa; Chordata; Mammalia; Chiroptera; Phyllostomidae.
GGUCUGGGGACAGCCUGGGGACUCGGGAGCCGGACGGGGGUGCUGGGCAAAGACGUGGCUGUAGUUCUCGGAGCUCCCAGCACCAUAUGAGGCUCACAGACCACAGGCUCUGAUGUGUUUCGCUUGAAAAAGCAGGCAGUGUUUUCCUCUGAAGCGUGGUUCCAGUGCGGUGUUUGGCUGCGGCCAGAGGAGGAGGUUGUAAUUAGUCGUGAAAGUGCAUCUUCUAGGACAGGAAGGCACCGGCGGGUCUUCACGGAGGUUUCCAUUCUUCUGCCCCAUUUUCCGAGUCAGCACAGCACGCAUUUGGAGGAAGUUGCCCUUCCUUUCCUCUGGAUUUAUUCUCCUCCACCCCUUUUCCUCUUCAUCCACCCUCAAGAGUGUUGGAUGAUUCCCCAGCUUGUGCAAAGCCUCUUCAGGACGUCGUUGGACUGCGUGGAUCAUAAAUUAUAAGAUAGCUCCAGCACCUCCCACUUCUCACGACCCGCACCGCCUGCUACCACUGAUCCAAGUCGCCACCAGCUCACGAUUGGACCAUUUUUUUUUUUAAACCAAG